AUGAAAGUAAGUAAGAGCGUAUGGCGGAUGCCUUGGCUCUCAGAGGCGAUGAAGGACGUGAUAAGCUGCGAUAAGCUUCGGGGAGGUGCAAAUAACUUUCGAUCCGGA
This 108-nucleotide ribosomal RNA is filed under the name Bacteroidales bacterium. Its description in RNAcentral is "partial 23S ribosomal RNA". It matches the Rfam family "Bacterial large subunit ribosomal RNA", at positions 1 to 108 of the family's 2925-position model. Lineage: Bacteria; Pseudomonadati; Bacteroidota; Bacteroidia; Bacteroidales. The record is from RNAcentral.